GCCGCACAUAACAUGAUUUCAAAUAACUUCGAGCUGCUGCCAUCUAAGUUUUCUUAAUUUCUAAUAUAAUCGUCUACCAAACAUAUAGUGAUAUUUUUUUAAUCUCUCCCCCAUUUCUUUUAUAUCUCCGCCCCCCCCUGGUCAACUUGGCAGUACUGUACUAUUCUACAUGUGAACAAUAACCCGAAUAGUAUCAUCUACAGUGACUACUACACAUGCACACAAAGUGAUUUCAAAAAAACUUCGAGAUGCUUUUAACUAAGUCUUAUCAAUUUUUAAGACAAUCGUCCACAAAAUAUAUUGAGACUUUUUAAAUCAAUCCCCUCCCCCCUUAUUUCAAUGUUGAAACCUACUGUACUUAUCCAAAACUAACAUAAGGUGACACUAGCACCGCAACUGUGUCACUGGCAGUUGAAAUUUAACAUAUGAUGUUGGAAUUAAACUAUAUUGUAAUGCCUAACAACAUUGAAA
Non-coding RNA from Paramuricea clavata, 471 nucleotides. Lineage: Eukaryota; Metazoa; Cnidaria; Anthozoa; Malacalcyonacea; Plexauridae. The record is from the annotation of a GenBank genome assembly.